RNAcentral lists this ribosomal RNA (301 nucleotides) under uncultured bacterium. RNAcentral's name for it is "partial 16S ribosomal RNA". It matches the Rfam family "Bacterial small subunit ribosomal RNA", at positions 509 to 807 of the family's 1533-position model. The record is from RNAcentral.
CAGCAGCCGCGGUAAUACGUAGGGUGCGAGCGUUAAUCGGAAUUACUGGGCGUAAAGCGUGCGCAGGCGGUUCGUUAAGACAGAUGUGAAAUCCCCGGGCUUAACCUGGGAACUGCAUUUGUGACUGGCGAGCUAGAGUAUGGCAGAGGGGGGUAGAAUUCCACGUGUAGCAGUGAAAUGCGUAGAGAUGUGGAGGAGUACCGAUGGCGAAGGCAGCCCCCUGGGCCAAUACUGACGCUCAUGCACGAAAGCGUGGGGAGCAGACAGGAUUAGAGACCCCUGUAGUCCCUGUCUCUUAUAC